CCUACGGGUGGCAGCAGUGAGGAAUAUUGGUCAAUGGGCGCGAGCCUGAACCAGCCAAGUCGCGUGAGGGAGGACGGCCCUACGGGUUGUAAACCUCUUUUGCCGGGGAGCAACGGGCGCCACGUGUGGCGUCACUGAGAGUACCCGGAGAAAAAGCAUCGGCUAACUCCGUGCCAGCAGCCGCGGUAAUACGGGGGAUGCGAGCGUUAUCCGGAUUUAUUGGGUUUAAAGGGUGCGUAGGCGGAUCGUUAAUUCAGUGGUAAAAUUGAGGGGCUCAACCCCUUCCCGGCAUUGAAACUGGCGUUCUUGAGUGGAAGAGAAGUAUGCGGAAUGCGUGGUGUAGCGGUGAAGUGCAUAGAUAUCACGCAGAACCCGGAUGGCGAGGGAAGCAUGCGGGCUUCCGACUGACGCUGAAGCACGAAAGCGUGGGGAUAGAACAGGAUUAGAUACCCAGUAGUC
RNAcentral lists this ribosomal RNA (459 nucleotides) under uncultured bacterium. RNAcentral describes it as "partial 16S ribosomal RNA". It matches the Rfam family "Bacterial small subunit ribosomal RNA", at positions 338 to 795 of the family's 1533-position model. The record is from RNAcentral.